Molecule: ribosomal RNA, 434 nt
Filed under: uncultured bacterium
Lineage: Bacteria
Description: partial 16S ribosomal RNA
Rfam family: Bacterial small subunit ribosomal RNA
Source: RNAcentral
AACGAACGCUGGCGGCAUGCCUAACACAUGCAAGUCGAACGAUUGCCUUCGGGUGAUAGUGGCGCACGGGUGCGUAACGCGUGGGAAUCUGCCCUUAGGUUCGGAAUAACAGCUGGAAACGGCUGCUAUUACCGGAUGUUAUCCCGGGUCAAAGAUUUAUCGCCUGAGGAUGAGCCCGCGUUGGAUUAGGUAGUUGGUGGGGUAAAGGCCUACCAAGCCGACGAUCCAUAGCUGGUCUGAGAGGAUGAUCAGCCACACUGGGACUGAGACACGGCCCAGACUCCUACGGGAGGCAGCAGUGGGGAAUAUUGGACAAUGGGCGCAAGCCUGAUCCAGCAAUGCCGCGUGAGUGAUGAAGGCCCUAGGGUUGUAAAGCUCUUUUACCCGGGAAGAUAAUGACUGUACCGGGAGAAUAAGCCCCGGCUAACUCCGUG